Molecule: transfer RNA, 67 nt
Filed under: Marmota monax (woodchuck)
Lineage: Eukaryota; Metazoa; Chordata; Mammalia; Rodentia; Sciuridae
Description: tRNA.Ala
Rfam family: tRNA
About the family: Transfer RNA (tRNA) molecules are approximately 80 nucleotides in length.
Source: RNAcentral
GAAUGUAGCUCAGUGCUAGAGCGGCUGCUUGGCAUGCAUGAGGUCCUAGGUUCCAUCCCCAGCAUCA